UCCCGGUGGGGCGGCCGCCCUCGGGCUGGCGGAGGCGCCGGAGGAGCCCCCGAGCUGCAGCCGUCUCCCUCGGGCUGCUGCCGGUGCUGCGGGCGGAGGCGGCUCCGCCGCGUGUUGGGCGCUGCGAGCAGGGAGCGCUGCGGUAUCGCCGGCAUGACGGGGCUGCUGCCUGCGUUAGUGCUCGUGGCUCUUUGUGCCGUGACAGCGGAUGGAGCGGCGCUGGGCGGUAAAGCCAGAGAUGGCCGGGAGAAUGCCCAGCGCAGGGAGCGGGCGGGCUGUGUGCUUCGGAUGGCACAGGGUACUCACAAAAUAUGUCUCCCUUAGUGUCCCACAGAAACAUUCUGGGUGAAAUCUGAAUUAAGUGCUAUGAGUCUUGAUAAAUUGGAGAAGUGCCCAAGAGAAAUUCAUCAUCCUGAGAUACAAAAGGUAGGAAGUGACUUUUUUUGGUUUGGUUCUUUUUCUUUAUUGUUUUCUGGAAAUAGAAGUAAUUAAGUAUAGAUACUACUGGUUUGUUUCUUCCAGUAGCUGAUAAUACUAAUACCAAUAAUAAUAAUAAUAAGAGUAAAGUAAUACUACUUCAACUGUCUUUAUUUAUCCAUUGAACUGGCCAUUUUAAAUCUAAACUUCUAAACACAAAUCAAACCAUCAUCCUUGUAGAAUCUUUAAUAGGAGUGGGCUAAAGAUCCUGGUUUUGUUGACAGGAUUUAUUGGUUCGUGAAGAGCAAGAGGUAAGUACAAGCCUAACUACCCUCUAGCUCACAGACCUGCCCGGUGAAUAGAGCUUUGUUUUUUUGAUGGGCUUGUGAUGACUUUGAGAUCAAUUGCUCAUUCAUUACAGUAAAAAAAAAAAAAAAGUUUUGAACAUGACAGCAAAAAUAACUUUAAGCACAACUUAAUAAUAAUAGAUCACCAAUUUUAGUUAAUAAUUUUAUGCUAUACUCUUGGGUGAGGGAAGACUCGGACACUCAAUAUGAGAUCAGCAAGCUAUGUUUAUUGCAGAGAGUAUCAGACACUUAUACAGCACAUAAUAAGCUUAUGAAUAUUCUGUAAGCCAAGCGAUCUAUUGGUUAAACUAUACCAUCAACUCUUCCUCAUUCCUUUGGGCCUACAUUCCCUAUUUCCCACGUCUCUCUGUCUACUUGUUAUCCUACCCAGCUAGGCCCAGGCACACGCUAUCUUGCAGGUGCAAAACUCAAAAAUACCUGUGUUCGGUACUUUCCCAGCUCCUGGUCGGCUAACGAGAGAAUGUCUGCGUGACCUCUGUCAUGGAGCCAUUUCUCCACACUAUACUAUCAAAGUUUAAAGGUAAAUUAUUAUAUAUUAGGAGAUGGUGUAAAGUGUAUGUUGUAAUGUGUAGGAUAUAUACAAAGAUACAUUCUUGAAAGUCUGUAGAGGAAACAAAUUUUUACGCCUUCUGUUUGACUGUUUGUCAUAUAUUUGGUUUUAUUUCCCAGGGAUCAGUGAAUUUUAACUCUGGAGUCCUCUAUGCUAAGGAUGCUCAGCUUACAGAUGAUGAAAUGUUCAGUAAUGUAUUUGCUGCAGCUCUGCUUACCCAAGCUUUGGGUUCCUUCUGUCCCACUGGGAGUGGCCCAAUUUGGUUGCAUCUGGUGAAAUUCACCCUGAGACCUUACAGAACCAGCUCCAACUACGUGAGAGCCAUUUGCAGUUCUCUCCAGACGCCUGGAGAAUGGGCGACGUUUCUGAGGAUCCGGCGAGCGUGCUUCUGUCAAAACUCAGUCUGUGAAGUUUCUGGGGAAAACCCUUCUGUGUCCUGAAGGGUUCAAACUCUGGUGAGGAUCCAGUUAUCAGGUGCUCACCUGGAUGGUUCCAGCUCCCAAAGCAGGGAAAGACUCUCGUAUCCUUGUCGUCAGGCUCGGUGCUGUCCAAGAAGAUACGGGGACUAAAAAAAUCAUAAGAAGCAAAAUAUGACUGCAGGGAAAAGAAGCUGGAGAGAACAGAAGGUGAUAUUGUUAUCCUUACCCUGUAUUAGAAACAUCCGCUGUGCUUUGAUGCUGGCAGCUGCCGGGGGCUUGUUAGCUCUUUGUAGGCAGGUGUAGGUGUUCACUUGUAGGUUUUUUCUCUGGACAAGGCAAUUCAAACUUUGCUAAGCUUAUAUUUGCAGAUUACUCUCUAGCACAGUCCAGCAUGACAUUUUUGAAUGUUGUAAAAAUACCAUGUUACUUGGAAAUGGCUAAUGAAGAGAAGCUUUAGGGGAAAAUAAGAUUUUAGGGUUGGGAGAUGUGAGAAGAAUUGUGUGGGGAUGUUAGACUGAAGUAAAGCACACUUGAAGCUGGACUGGCAUGCUGGCAGGUCCCCUAUUAAACAGUAGUGCUGAGAUUAGCCUGGGGGUUGCCCAUUGUUUCUGUAGAAAUCAAUGUUUCCUGGUCUUCAGAGGUAAGCUGCUUUGAAAAGCUGGAAGGUGCAGCAUGCUGACAAUCCCCGUGCUUUGGAUUAAAAGUAGAUUUCAGAAGGGUCCUAAGCUUUUGUCUUUGCCUAGAAGUCGAUGUAAUCCUGUCGAGGAGUUUUUAAUUCUGUGUUGCCAUGUCAUCCAUCAGAGCCCUGCUGUACUAAUCAUCAUACAAGUACAAAACAAAAAAUCAGACCCUGUCCCACCCACUUAGAGCCCAGAACACGAUUUCCUCGGGCUGCCAUUUGUGUGCCAUCGGUACUCACCACAGAAGGGAGCUGGGGAUUGUUGCAGCUGUUGGGAACAAACCGCUUCUCGUCACACAGCAAUGGAAUUGGGACAACGCCUCGGCCAGCCCCUCUCUGCCAUCGUCUCCUGAAUCUGCAGCAGAGCAGUUCCAGUCCAUCCGGGCACGUGUAAUCCAGUUCCUGAUGAUCUGAGCACACGGAGAAGCACUCAGCUGCUGUGGGGGGCUCACGGAAGGCAGAGUGUGCAUUGUCAUCUUCCUGAACCUACAGACGAAUCAAAGUGAGAAGCCACAGCGUGGAAAUCAGUCGCAUAUAUGCUAAAUAAAACUUGCAGAUUUUUUUAAGAAUUGUUGUUUCUUGU
This is a long non-coding RNA of Melospiza georgiana, 3016 nucleotides long. RefSeq lists it as uncharacterized. NCBI's taxonomy places the organism in Eukaryota, Metazoa, Chordata, Aves, Passeriformes, Passerellidae. The record is from RefSeq and is a predicted model, not a curated record. The transcript has 5 exons.